Molecule: long non-coding RNA, 394 nt
Filed under: Oryza brachyantha (malo sina)
Lineage: Eukaryota; Viridiplantae; Streptophyta; Magnoliopsida; Poales; Poaceae
Description: long non-coding RNA (OBRA_LNC003285)
Source: RNAcentral
CUUCUCCUCGUCAUAUAUGCAACUUCGACAGUGGAAAAACGAGAGUGGAGAGCACCCCGGUAAUUAAUUAACUUCUCCCCAUGAGAUCGAUCUACGUACAUGCAUGCCAAUUACGAGAGAUUUCACUGCUUGCUUUAGAUAGGAUUAGGAGACAUGGUGAAGCAAAGGAGUGCACCCUGAGUUGGCCAGCCAUCGUGGCUUUCUCGAGCGUCAGCGUUUGCGUAGGAGACGACAAAUGCAGCAAAACAUCUCUGGUUUCAGCUGCAACACAAGUGGCUCUUCUUACGAGGCAGGGGACGGAGCUACAAAAUUAGUUCAUCGAGAUCAUCACCGGGUCAAAAUACAGUAAGUUUACCUAUUAGUAUCAUCUUAGCUGCUUAAAUAAUAAAAUAAU